Long non-coding RNA from Passer domesticus (house sparrow), 1199 nucleotides. RefSeq lists it as uncharacterized. The transcript is spliced from 3 exons. The record is from RefSeq and is a predicted model, not a curated record. Lineage: Eukaryota; Metazoa; Chordata; Aves; Passeriformes; Passeridae.
ACCGCCCCCUGCAGGGCCCGUUACUCACUGGACAUCUGGAAGUGGUUGUGCAGCGCCCGCGAGCUCGUGCUCUCCGCCGCCUUCUCGAAGGCUCUUCCGAAAAAGCUGAGGCAGGAGCAGAAACACCAGUGAGUGGCACGGGAAAGGAUGUUUACUGAGAUUCUUCAAUCAUCUCCCGAAGAUUUUCUUUCAAAGACAUGUCCAUGGAAUUAAACUUCUGUUUCACUUGCUUCAAGGGCAAACUAAGAACAGAAGGAAAAAAUUCAUUGACAGUCAUUGAAAAGCGAAUACAAAGAAGCAGAGUUUACUUUGCUGAGCUGCCAUUCCAUAAAAGCAUACAGCAAGUGUUCCCUGUAAACCAAUACACAAGUUGUGUAACUCAGAGACACUGCCACCCAUUCAGAGCCCCACAAUCAUAUUUAAAAGCUGACAGCUUGAGUACUUGCAAGCUAUAUUCUGAAUAUUUUCCUGUAAGGCAUUGGAAAAAAUUAUCCAAAGUUUUGUAACUCACCCCAUGUCAGCCAAAAACUCCUGGAGCCUCUUCUGCCCUUGCACAGACCAAAGCUUGAGGCUGGCAGAGGUGUAGCAGGUGUUACAGAGACUUUCAUAGAGAGACCAGUGCUGGUACAGUGCCAGGCGCAGGCUGAGCAGGAGUUAUGGCAAAUAAUGGCAAACACAAAUAUCCUCUGACCCUACAAACUCCACCAGUAGGAUUCAGCUGCCCUUACAUAUUGCAUGCCUGUGCUGCAUAACAUGCAGAGAGCAGCUCAGGUGGGUAACCCAAGGGCAGCAAUGGUGACUUGUAACCAGGUCUGAAAGGUUAAGCUGGACUGAAGCCCCACGAGCAGCUGGAAGAGGGACCCAUGCACAGCAAAACAUUUGGAGUUCCCUUUAUUUUAUUUCCAUUCUCAGCAGAGAUGGUGCUGGGAUUUUUUGUCCCCUAGAUAAAAACUCCAGAGGGGUUCACCCCAACCUUCUUUAAGGAUACUCAUACUCAAAUGCAAUUCUCAUGCAGUCAAUGGACAGAGAGUUCUCCUCAUCCUCGUUGCGGUGGUUGUGGCGGGACACGUGGCGCUGCAGGAUCCCGAUGUCAGUCACGUACUUCAUUCUGCGACAAAAGCAAGGAUGUCACUUCACCUUCUGCCUGGGAAUUUUUGUUCUUGAUUACAAAAAAAUAAAAAUGCUUCCUAAAGUCUACA